AUUGAACGCUGGCGGCAGGCCUAACACAUGCAAGUCGAGCGGAUGAAGGGAGCUUGCUCCUGGAUUCAGCGGCGGACGGGUGAGUAAUGCCUAGGAAUCUGCCUGGUAGUGGGGGAUAACGUCCGGAAACGGGCGCUAAUACCGCAUACGUCCUGAGGGAGAAAGUGGGGGAUCUUCGGACCUCACGCUAUCAGAUGAGCCUAGGUCGGAUUAGCUAGUUGGUGGGGUAAAGGCCUACCAGGGCGACGAUCCGUACCUGGUCUGAGAGGAUGAUCAGUCACACUGGAACUGAGACACGGUCCAGACUCCUACGGGAGGCAGCAGUGGGGAAUAUUGGACAAUGGGCGAAAGCCUGAUCCAGCCAUGCCGCGUGUGUGAAGAAGGUCUUCGGAUUGUAAAGCACUUUAAGUUGGGAGGAAGGGCAGUAAGUUAAUACCUUGCUGUUUUGACGUUACCAACAGAAUAAGCACCGGCUAACUUCGU
RNAcentral lists this ribosomal RNA (483 nucleotides) under uncultured bacterium. RNAcentral's name for it is "partial 16S ribosomal RNA". It matches the Rfam family "Bacterial small subunit ribosomal RNA", at positions 30 to 506 of the family's 1533-position model. The record is from RNAcentral.